RNAcentral lists this ribosomal RNA (497 nucleotides) under uncultured bacterium. RNAcentral's name for it is "partial 16S ribosomal RNA". It matches the Rfam family "Bacterial small subunit ribosomal RNA", at positions 28 to 507 of the family's 1533-position model. The record is from RNAcentral.
GAUGAACGCUGGCGGCGUGCCUAAUACAUGCAAGUCGAGCGAACAGACGAGGAGCUUGCUCCUCUGACGUUAGCGGCGGACGGGUGAGUAACACGUGGAUAACCUACCUAUAAGACUGGGAUAACUUCGGGAAACCGGAGCUAAUACCGGAUAAUAUAUUGAACCGCAUGGUUCAAUAGUGAAAGACGGUUUUGCUGUCACUUAUAGAUGGAUCCGCGCCGCAUUAGCUAGUUGGUAAGGUAACGGCUUACCAAGGCAACGAUGCGUAGCCGACCUGAGAGGGUGAUCGGCCACACUGGAACUGAGACACGGUCCAGACGCCUACGGGAGGCAGCAGUAGGGAAUCUUCCGCAAUGGGCGAAAGCUUGACGGAGCAACGCCGCGUGAGUGAUGAAGGUCUUCGGAUCGUAAAACUCUGUUAUUAGUGAAGAACAAAUGUGUAAGUAACUAUGCACGUCUUGACGGUACCUAAUCAGAAAGCCACGGCUAACUACGUG